Molecule: transfer RNA, 72 nt
Filed under: Camelus bactrianus (Bactrian camel)
Lineage: Eukaryota; Metazoa; Chordata; Mammalia; Artiodactyla; Camelidae
Also listed under: 2 other names
Rfam family: tRNA
About the family: Transfer RNA (tRNA) molecules are approximately 80 nucleotides in length. Their secondary structure includes four short double-helical elements and three loops (D, anti-codon, and T loops).
Source: Rfam by way of RNAcentral
GGGUAUAUAGCUCAGUGGUAGAGUGUGUGCUUAGCAUGCACAAGGUGCUGGGUUCAAUCCCCAGUGCCUCCA